ACAAGCCUGAGAAACGGCUAGUAGGACUAAGGUCUGCAGCAGGCGCGAAACUUACACAAUGCUAGAUUAAAAUUAGCGAUGUAGUGAAGAAAAAUAACGAUGUACUUCCAUUUAAACAUGGUAGUACAAUUGGAAUGAGACGACUCUAAACCGGUCAGUCGAGUAACAAAUGGAGGGCAAGUCUGGUGCCAGCAGCCGCGGUAAUUCCAGCUCCAUUAGCAUACAUUAAAGUUGUUGCGGUUAAAAAGCUCGUAGUUGAAUUUUAGGCGAGCUCUAUUGGGAUGCGACCGUUAAGGUUUCAGUGUCACUUCGGUGCCUGCAAACUGGUCGUAUUUUCCCUAUAGGAACUCGCUGUUUCGUCACUUAAUCGAGUGCGAAGCGGGCUGGAACGAUGGUCAUCCUCGGAUGCCUUGUUACAGCAUGUUUACCUUGAGAAAAUUAGAGUGCUCACAGCAGGCAGUUGGGGUGUAAAAGCUCCUUUAUGCUUGAAUAAUGUUGCAUGGAAUAAUAGAAUAUGGCCUCGGUUCUAUUCUGUUGGUCUUAUAGAACAACAAAUAAGUUGGUUAAAGCGACCAAAAGUCUGUUUGGUAGUGUGGUUUCAAGUGACUUGUUACGCGUCUAGUAGCUCUUUCAUCGAUCUUAGCUCAAAUUCUGUUGCCUGGGGCCUUAAAAUCUCAGAGCCUGGUUUAGCUAUGCAUCUUUGUUAUCUGCUAGUGCUGGCAUGCUUGCUGGUUGCCAUUAAAGCACUCCUUACUAGGCUAGCUUUUAAUCAACUGAGGCAAUGGUUAAAAGAAAUAGUCGCGGCGGCAUCAGUACUGCAUCGUGAGAG
RNAcentral lists this ribosomal RNA (829 nucleotides) under Phyllocoptes pyrivagrans. RNAcentral describes it as "partial 18S ribosomal RNA". It matches the Rfam family "Eukaryotic small subunit ribosomal RNA", at positions 389 to 910 of the family's 1831-position model. Lineage: Eukaryota; Metazoa; Arthropoda; Arachnida; Trombidiformes; Eriophyidae. The record is from RNAcentral.